Molecule: long non-coding RNA, 6645 nt
Organism: Gorilla gorilla gorilla (western lowland gorilla)
Lineage: Eukaryota; Metazoa; Chordata; Mammalia; Primates; Hominidae
Exons: 4
Source: RefSeq, a predicted model, not a curated record
GAUGCAUAAUCUCAUCCCUGAACAUCCUGCUGGUGCGAUUAUGACAUAUGAUUUUACCCAGCACCAGAGUGAUUUGAUGCUCCUGCCUGGGCCCAACCCACAGAAGGGAUUGUGACAUAUCACUGGACCCAGCACUGAGGGGACAUUGUGUAAUAUCGCUGGGCCUCACACGUACAUUAUGUGACUCUCCUGCCUGUGCCCUGUCCAUGUGGGCCAUUGUGACAUAUUGCUGGGUCCAACACCUGGUUGAUGUAACUCUACUGCCUAGGUCCUGCCUACGGAGGACAUUGUGAUGUAUCCCUGAACCCAUCACACAGAUUCUGCCCUCAGAGGACAUUGUGACAUGUCACUGGGCCCAAUACUAAGAUGACAUCAUUCUUUAGUUUUGGCACUGCCCUCAGAAGCCGUGGUGGUGUAUUGCUGGGCCCAGAGCCAAUGUGAUGUGAGUCUCCUGCCUGGAUCCUGCGUACAAGGUGCAUUGUGACAUAUCUCUGGGCCCUUUGACUAUUUUAUGUGACUCCUCUCUUACCUGGAUGUUGCCCAAAAAGAGAUUGCUUUGCACCCAGCACUGAGGUGAUUUGACUCUCCUCUUCUGCCUGUACUUUGCCUACAGGAGAGUGACUUAUUGCUGAGUUCAGCAUACACAUGAUGUGAUUUUCCUCCACUCACAGAAGUCAUUGUGACAUAUAUCUUGGCCCAUCGCUGAGAUUGUGACUGUCUUUUUCCUGGGACCUGUCCACAGUGGAGAGUAUGACACUUUUUUGGCCAAGCACCUACAAGAUACGACUCUCUUCUUAUGCCUGGGCCACUGGGGUGAUUUUGACAUGUAGUUGGCCCCAGCUCCAAGAUUAUGUGACUCCACACUUCUUCCUGAGCCCUACCUACAGGUAGCAUUGUGUCAUAUCUGUGAGACCCUCAAUUAGGUGAAAUGACUCUUUUGUUUGGGCCCUCUUCUCAAGGUACUGUGACAUAUUGCUGGGCCCAGCAUCUAGGUGAUGUAACUCUUCUGUACUGUUUGGUUUCUGCCUAAAAAGGCGUUGUGACAUACCACUCUAUCAAGAACCUAGAUGAGGUGACUCCUCUCCAGCCUGGGACCUGCAUACAUUGCUUAUUGACACAUAUCACUGGCUCCAGCACCUAGGUAAUGCAACUCUCGUACAUGGGCCCCCACCCAUAGGGGUAUUAUAAGAUAUCUGUUAAUCACCUAGGUGGUGUGACACUCCUCUUCUGCCUGGGCCCUCCCAAAAAAGUAUUUUUACACAUCACUGAGCCCAGCACCUAGGUGAUGUGACUCUUCUCUCAUGCAUUGGCCCUGCCAACUGGGGUGUUUGUUACAUAUAGCUGGGCCCAGCCCCUAGGUCAUGCGAUUCUUUUUUUUCUGAGCCCUACCCACAGAGGGCAUUUUGACAUAUUUUGAGCCCAUCAUUUAGGUGAUGUGACCCUCUUGCAUGGGCCCUCCCCACAAGGGGUACUGUGACAUAUUGCUGAACCCAGUACAUAGGUGAUGUGACUCUGCUCUAUGGAUUGGGCUUUGGCCAAGCAGGGCUGUGAUGUGUUGCUGGACUCACCACCUAUGUAUUGUGAUUAUUCUGUUCUGCCUAAGCCCUGCGUACAGUGUGUAUUGUGACAUAUGCCUGGAUUUAGCACCUGGGUAAUGUGACUUUAUGGCAUGGGAACUGUCCACAAAAGUGUUAUGACAUCUUUUUCAUCACCUAGGUGAUAUGACCCUUUUAUUUUCCCUGUUCCUGGCGUAUUUUGGGUAUAGUAACAUAUCAUUGAGUCCAAUGCCUAUGGGAUAUGUGGCUCCUCCCUGGGCCCAGCACAUAGAGUGCCUCAUGACAUAUCUCUGCAUCCAUAGUCUAGGAGAUUUAACUCUUCUCCUGACUUUCUUCUCCUGCCUAGUUUCUUCUCACAAAAAGUAUUGUCACGUAUCACUGGGCCCAACAGCAACAGUAACAAUGAUGUUACUCUUUGGCCUACUGUUUGCCCUCAGAAGGCAUUGUGACACAUUACUUGGCCAACAUCAAGGUCAUGUGCUUCUCCUGCCUGGACCCUGUCACAGGGGACAUUGUGACAUAUCUCUGUGUCCAUCACCCAGGUGAGGUGAAUCUUUUCACCUGCCUGGUGUCUGCUUGCUGGGGGAUAAUGAUAUAUAUUGCUGAUUUCAUCACCAAGCUGAUGUAACUCUUCUCGUCUUCAUACAUCCUGCCCGGAAGAAAACUGAAAUAUCGCUGGGCCCAACGCCAAGGUUAUUUGGCCUGGCCCCGCCCUCAAAAGGCAUUGUGACAUAUUGCAGUGCCCAGUACCAAUGUAAUUUGUCUCCUGCCUACACCCUGCCUACUUGGGGCAUUGUGACAUGUCUUGGCCCAUCAACUAUUUGAUAAAGCUCUCCUUUCUUACCUGGGUUUUUCCCAUAGUAGAGAUUGUGAAAGAUCUCUGGGACCAUCACCUAGAUGAUGUGACUCUCUUCUUUUGCCUGGGCCCUUUCCACGGGGAUGAUCGUGUCAUAUAGUUUUACCCAGCCCCUAGGUUAUGUGACUCAGUGGUUUCUGUGACAUAUUGCUUGACUCAGCACAUAGGUGAUAUGACUCUUCUCCACUGCUUGGACUCUGUCAAGGAGGUAUUGUGGGCCAGGUGUGGUGGCUCAUGCCUGUAAUUUCAGCACUUUGGGAGGUCAAGGCAGGUGGGUCACCUGAGGUCUGGAGUCUAAGACCAGCCUGGCCAACAUGGCAAAACCCUGUCUCUACCAAAAAUACAAAGAAAAAAAUAGCCGGGUAUGAUAGUGUGCCCCUGUAGUCCUGGCUACUUGGGAGGCUGAGACAGGAGAAUCACUUGAACCCAAGAGGUGGAGGUUGUGGUGAGCCACGAUCAUUCCAUUGCACUUCGGCCUGGGUGACAGAGUGAGACUCUGUCUCAAGAAAAAAAAAAAAAAAAAAGAACGUAUUGCAAUGUAUCACUGGGACUGACACCUAGGUUAUGAUACUCUCUCCUGCCUGAGUCCUGCAUAAAUUGUAUAUUUUGACAUAGCACUGCAUUCAACAUAUAGCUGAUGCAACUCUAGCACAUAGGCCCUGCUCAUGGGCAUAUUAGGACAUAUAUUUUUCUUCAUCACCUAGGUUAUGUGAAUCCUCUUCUUCCCAGAUCCUGCCAAAAGGAAAGAUUGUGACAUAUCACUGGAACCAGCACUUAGGCUAUUGUGACAUAUGUCUGAGGCUAACACCCAGAUGAUAUAAGUCUUCAUCCUUGACCCUGUCUACAGAAGUCAUUGUGAUAUAUGUCUUCACCAAUCACUGAGGUCGAACGCCCAGUGAUGUGACUCUCCUUCCUGGGCCAUGCCCUCAGGGAAGAUUGUGACAUACCCCGGCCCAGCACACAGUUAAUGUCACUCUUGUGCUUGCUGUCUACCCAUGGGUAGGAUUGUGACAUAUAUCGUGGCCAAGCACAAAGAUGUAACGACUGUCAUACCUCGAAGAAAGCAAUAGAGUUAAUGUUGCUCCUAGGUAGGCUUAGGAAAAUGAGGAAGUCGUCUUUCUGUUCAAAUCUCACUCUCUGACAUAUAUAAAGCCCUAGUGUGUUACAGAGAAUGUCAUAACAGGGCUCCUCACACAGGUGAGAUCGUGUUCUAUACACAGCCCACCAAUCUUGAGAAUUGUCACCCUCACACAUGGACAGAGUCCACUGGUGAAGUCCUGAAUCACACAUGAAUGCAGUUCACAAUUGGAAUUGUGACUGUCAUCAUUGAACAUCUGGCCACAAUUUGGAUGGUGAUUCUUUUUUUUUUUUUUUUUUUUUUUUUUUUUGAGACAGAAUCUUGCUCAGUCACCCAGGCUGGAGUACAGUGAUGCAAUCUUGGCUCACUGCAACCUCUGCCUCCUGGGUUCAAGCAAUUCUCCUGCCUCAUCCCCCUGAGUAGUUGUGAUUACAGGCACCCGCCACCAAGCCCAGCUAAUUUUUGUAUUUUAAGUAGAGACAGGGUUUCACCAUGUUGGCCAGGCUGGUCUCAAAGUCCUGACCUCGUGAUCCGCCCACCUCAGCCUCCCAAAGUGCUGGGAUUACAGGUGUGAACCACCAUGCCUGGCAGUGAUUCAUUUCUAAACCCAGCUUGUUAAAAGGUGAGGAAUCUCCUAUCUGGACUAAACCAAUUGGAUAGAUGUUGAUGCUCAUAUCUGGGCUUGGAACCACAGGAAAGAUCUUCUUGGACAAAGAUCACAGAGGAUUACCACUCUUGCAUAUUGUAUAAAUCCAUUAAGUGAAACUGUAUCAUAAGAGAACAUAGCACAUGCGUGAGAUUUUGUCUUUUGAAUGUACACCCAGGCAACAGUAAACAUUGUCAUUCUCCCAUAUAAACACAUCUCACUGUUGAGGUUCUGAAUGUCAGACACAGAGACUGAAAAGUUGAAUAAUUGACUCUCCUGUGGAUCUGGACUAGAGGUGGACUGGUGACUCUCAGAGCAAGAUUCAGCACACAUAAGAGUCUGUGACUUCACUGAAAGGACAAGCCUGCAGAAGAAAUUGUGGCUUUCCUGCCCACAUUCUGUCAACCACUGAUACUGUGACUCACAUACUUAGACCCAACGUACAGAAAGUGUUGACUCAUACCUAGCACCUGGACAUAUAUGGAAUUUCUACUCUAAUUCCUGGACUUUUCUGCAGGUGUGAUUGUAUACAUCUGCUACCCACCGUAGUGAUUUGACUUUGCUGCCUUGGCCCAGCCCACAGAUGAGAUUGUGACAUAUCACUUGACUCUGCACCUUGAUGGUGCAAUCUGCGCUCACUGCAACCUCUGCCUCCCAGGUUCAAGUGAUUCUCCUGCCUCAGCCUCCUGAGGAGCUGGGAUUACAGGCAUGCACCACCACACCCAACUAGUUUUUGUAUUUUUAGUGGAGACGGGGUUUCACCAUGUUGGUCAGGCUGGUCUCGAACUCCUGACCUCGUGUUCUGCCCGCCUCAGCCUCCCAAAGUCCUGGGAUUACAGGUAUGAGCCACCAUGCCCGGCCUCGCUGGGCCUUUCACCUAGGUGAUGUGAGUUAUUUUUCUUGCAUUGGUACUGCUCACAGGGUGCAUUGUGACAUAUUUCUAAGCCCUUCACUCAGGUUAUGUGACUACUUUUUUGCCUGUGCCCUAUUUUGCAUGUUAGGAUGUAUUAUGAGGCCCAACACCUAUAAAAUAGAGGCUCCUCCCUGGGCCUUGUCUACAGAGGGCCUUGUGACAUAUCUCUGCAUCAAUCACCUGGGAAAUGUGACUCUGUUUUUGCCUGCACUCUGUCCACAGGAAACAUUGUGACUUAUCACUAGGCCCAGGUACCAGUUGAUGUGUCUCUGGUAACUGGGCCUUGACCACAGAGAGGAUUGUUACCUAUUGCUGGGCUCAGCCCCCAUGUGGUAAGACUGUACUGUCUGUGUCCUGCUUUCAGGAGAAGGCUGUAACAUAUUCCUGGUUGAGUAUUCAGGUGAUGUGACACUCCUGUUUGGUCCCUGCCUUCAGAAAAGAUUGUGAUGUACUCCUGGCCAAAAACCCAGGUGAUGUGACUCUUAUCUCUCCCUAUUCACAGGUAAGAUUGUAAAAUGCCUUGGUCUAGCUCACAGGUGUGAUGAUGUUGAUCCUUUUUUUUUUUUUUGGAGAUGGAGUUGCUCUGUCGCCCAGGCUGGAGUGCAGUGGUGUGAUCUCAGCUCACUGCAACCUCCACCUCCUGGGUUCUAGGGAUUCUCCUGCCUCAGCCUCCCAAGUAGCUGAGAUUACAGGUGCACACCACCAGUCCCGGCUAAUUUUUGUAUUUUCUGUAGAGAUAUGGUUUCAGCAUGUUGGCCAGGCUGGUCUCGAGCUCCGUACUUCAAGUGAUCUGCCCGCCUCAGCCUCGCAAAGUUCUGGGAUUACAGGCAUGAGCCACCGCGCCCGGCCACAAGUGUGGUGAUGACUCUCAUACCUCAAACCAGCCAGUAGGAGAGAUCCUGUUUCUUAUAGCUAGGCUUAAAAUCAUGAGUAUGGUCAUGGGUCUUCUUGUACGAAGGUCCUAGAGAAAUACCACUUUCUUUUAUACUAUAUAAAUCUCUUACUGUACAGAGAUUGCCAUUCCAGGGUUCAGAACACAGGUGAGAUUGUGUUUCUCAUAUGCAUACCCCAGCAAACAUUAAAAUUGUCAUCUUCACACAUGGACAGGGUCCACUGGUAAGUCCUGAAUCUCACACAUGGAAAAAAUCCACAGUUGAAAUUGUGACUGUCAUAUAUGAACAUCUGGCCAGAGUUGAAAGGAUGAGUCAUUUCUAAAUCCAGUUUAUAGGCAAGUGAGAAUUUUUCUAUCUGAACCUGAGAGAAUAAAAGGUGGUUUUGAAUUAGACAAAAUAGAGCUAAAAGUUCAAACAAGUGGUGGAAGGAUUGUAAAAAUCUUGAGAAGAAUUCCAUGUGUGGUUAUAUUGACUAAAUUCAAAAAGGUACUACAUGGUUUUUCUGUAAAUAAAAAAUUGAAAUAAAAGCACAACAAUAUACUCGUAAUGCACUAAUCUGCUUUUUAACAACCUUUGUUAACGGUUAUAACAGAUUGUUGCUUCUUUAAAAUUUUGGAGUCAUUGUAACAAAAUAAAUCAUUUACGAUAAUCUGAAAUUCUAUUUUAUAACAUCAAGUGUUUCAAAUCUCUAACACUUAACAUG